Molecule: long non-coding RNA, 379 nt
Filed under: Homo sapiens (human)
Lineage: Eukaryota; Metazoa; Chordata; Mammalia; Primates; Hominidae
Description: non-protein coding lnc-GARS-7:1
Source: RNAcentral
GUUCAUUGUGGUAUUUGUGGCCUUUAUGAUGGGAAUGUUCAACGUCUACUCCUACUACAUUGGUGCAAAACAAAAUGAAGCCUUCACAACAGAGUUUUAAGACACUGUUCUGGGCUAUAUUUGGACUUUCUGAAGUGAAAUCAGUGGUCAUCAGCUAUAACCACAAAUUCAUUGCUAUAAUGUUCCAGGAAAUUGAGGAUGACGCUGAUGUGGAGUGGAAAUUUGCAAGGGCCAAACUCUUGUUUUCCUGCUUUGGGGCGGGGAGAGCACUUCCUGUUCCCUUCAAUCUGGUGCAGGGUCCAGUGUCCCUGUUUUUCUCUUGGUGAAGCUUAAAGGGUGGAUUUCUGAGCUCUACUCAGGGUCAUAGAAAAGGUUUCCA